GAUGAACGCUGGCGGCGUGCUUAACACAUGCAAGUCGAACGGAAAGGCCCAAGCUUGCUUGGGUACUCGAGUGGCGAACGGGUGAGUAACACGUGGGUGAUCUGCCCUGCACUUCGGGAUAAGCCUGGGAAACUGGGUCUAAUACCGGAUAGGACCACUUCGUAGUUGUUGUGGUGGAAAGUUUUUUCGGUGUGGGAUGAGCUCGCGGCCCAUCAGCUUGUUGGUGGGGUAAUGGCCUACCAAGGCGUCGACGGGUAGCCGGCCUGAGAGGGUGUACGGCCACAUUGGGACUGAGAUACGGCCCAGACUCCUACGGGAGGCAGCAGUGGGGAAUAUUGCACAAUGGGCGGAAGCCUGAUGCAGCGACGCCGCGUGGGGGAUGACGGCCUUCGGGUUGUAAACUCCUUUCGCCAAAGACGAAUUUAGGACGGUAUUUGGAGAAGAAGCACCGGCUAACUACGUG
This 463-nucleotide ribosomal RNA is filed under the name uncultured bacterium. Its description in RNAcentral is "partial 16S ribosomal RNA". It matches the Rfam family "Bacterial small subunit ribosomal RNA", at positions 28 to 507 of the family's 1533-position model. The record is from RNAcentral.